AAGCUGCCUCAUUCUGUAGUAAUGCAGAAUUGGUUUUAAUAAAAUACAUGGCUAUAUGCUGGGAAGCUCUAUUUUUAAUAGAGUAAUCAGCAGGGAAGUCGCUUUGUUGGCGACCCCUCAGAUACCACACGCCGUGCUCCAUAAUUUUUUAUGGAUGAAGAUAUGGUACAUCAUUGAGGAAUGGAU
Molecule: non-coding RNA, 186 nt
Filed under: Candidatus Moranbacteria bacterium GW2011_GWF1_36_78
Lineage: Bacteria; Candidatus Moraniibacteriota
Source: RNAcentral